AAAGGUAAAGUUGUGUACUUCCAUCAUCUCCUCAAACACAAACCCUCUUCAAACGCUAUCUUUUAUCAUCAAAACCUUUCAUAAAUUCCUCAGCCCUUUGAUAUUUAUUAUAUUAUACUCUUCAACAACAACAUAAAUACCAUAAAGUUUUGAUCUUUAUAUCAUAUAUUCAACUUCUUUGUCACAAUCUUUGGGACACUUUCUAUAUUCCCAUGGAGGAGGUUCAAAAAAUGGAAGAAGGGAAGAGCAAGAGUCAUUUAAUUUCGCCUGCAGCUUUUGUUGAAGGAGGUAUACAAGAAGCUUGUGAGGAUUCGUGUAGCAUUUGCCUCGAAGGUUUCUGUGAUAAUGAUCCUGGAACGGUGACAAGCUGCAAGCACGAGUUUCAUCUUCAAUGUAUUCUUGAAUGGUGUCAAAGGAGCUCGAAUUGUCCUAUGUGUUGGCAAGCGAUUAGUCUAAAAGAUCCAUCUAGUCAAGAGUUAUUGGAGGCGGUAGAACAUGAAAGGCGGGUCAGAUUCAACCCACCAAGAACUUCCACAAUAUUUCAUCACCCCACACUUGGGGAUUUUGAAUUGCAACAUUUGCCAGUGGGUGUGAAUGACAGUGAACUUGAGGACCGAAUCAUCCAACAUCUGGCGGCUGCAGCUGCCAUGGGUCGCACCCAUCAUGUGGGUAGAAGGGAAGGUUCAAGGAACCGGUCAGCAGCUCAUAGUCGUCCACAGUUCUUGGUGUUUUCCACAAACCCUAAUGCACCUCCAGCUGUUGCCGUUUCGGCUUCUAGUGGUUCCGUUCAAGUGCAAGCAGAACCAGUUGAUGAACCGACUGCUGUUGACUCACCUAGGGCAUCAGCCUUAUAUACAGGUCGUGGGGGUGGGACGGUCCAACAUACAUUGACAUCUGGAAGGACUAACACCUCAGAUAGUCAACAUGGGACGUCAGUUAUUCACAGGAGCUCAGGUAGCGUAUCUUCACCGCCUGAUCAAGAUAGAGCAGGGCCAUCAGAAAUGCAAACACCUUCAGAUACAUGGAAAUCUAAGUUCAGUGCUAUUUCAACAAGAUAUAAAGAAUCACUAUCGAAGAGUACAAGAGGGUGGAAAGAUAAACUUUUUAACAAGAGUCCAUCUAUGUCGAGUAUUGGGUCAGAAGUAAGGAGAGAGGUUAACGCUGGAAUUGCUAAUAUGUCGCGGAUGAUUGAGCGGCUUGAAGUUCAAGAUAAUAAUAGUGAAGUUCAUGAUCAUGAUUCUCCAGCCAGUAAUUUAGCUGAACAGGUUUCAGAUGCAGGGGGAAGUAACCAUAAUCGCAUUGAGAUAGCUGGUGCACAUGGUGGUUUAAACUAGCCUCUUUUGCUACUUUUUAAGCGGUAAAAUUUUCUGCUGGCACUUGCCUUUAAAGGUUGUUGAAAACAGUUAUCCAGAUAGAGAGCUUUAUCACCUGGUGAACACUUCUAAAUCUUUAUAAUGUGCUUGUAAAUGUGCUGCUAUUUUAAUUCGAAUAUAGUAUCGUUGGUGAUCUUUUGAUUAUCAUUGUUACUGAUUCGACAUGUUUUAUUUAAUGUAUUCAAUCCUUGUCUAUGAACUAUAUGUCCAUUAGUUUUGUUAGGCUGUACAUAGAGUGGUACAGCCUAACAAAACUUUUGUUGUGAUGUUUGCUUGUGCUUACCGAAAUUUAAUUGUUCAAAGUAUAACCUGCUUUUUGGUA
This is an RNA transcript of Erigeron canadensis, 1695 nucleotides long. It is a transcript of the gene named E3 ubiquitin-protein ligase RHF2A-like, with no coding region annotated. The record is from RefSeq and is a predicted model, not a curated record. Lineage: Eukaryota; Viridiplantae; Streptophyta; Magnoliopsida; Asterales; Asteraceae. The transcript is spliced from 9 exons.